CCUACGGGGGGCAGCAGUGGGGAAUUUUGGACAAUGGGGGCAACCCUGAUCCAGCCAUUCCGCGUGAGUGAAGAAGGCCUUCGGGUUGUAAAGCUCUUUCGGCAGGAACGAAACGGCGAGCUCUAACAUAGCUCGCUAAUGACGGUACCUGAAGAAGAAGCACCGGCUAACUACGUGCCAGCAGCCGCGGUAAUACGUAGGGUGCGAGCGUUAAUCGGAAUUACUGGGCGUAAAGCGUGCGCAGGCGGUUGUGUAAGACAGGUGUGAAAUCCCCGGGCUUAACCUGGGAACUGCGCUUGUGACUGCACGACUAGAGUAUGGCAGAGGGGGGUGGAAUUCCACGUGUAGCAGUGAAAUGCGUAGAGAUGUGGAGGAACACCGAUGGCGAAGGCAGCCCCCUGGGCCAAUACUGACGCUCAUGCACGAAAGCGUGGGGAGCAAACAGGAUUAGAUACCCGGGUAGUC
This 465-nucleotide ribosomal RNA is filed under the name uncultured bacterium. Its description in RNAcentral is "bacterial SSU rRNA". It matches the Rfam family "Bacterial small subunit ribosomal RNA", at positions 338 to 795 of the family's 1533-position model. The record is from RNAcentral.